UACGUAGGGUGCGAGCGUUGUCCGGAAUUACUGGGCGUAAAGGGCGCGUAGGCGGUUUCGCAAGUCAAGGGUGAAAUCCCGGAGCUUAACUCCGGAAUUGCUUUUGAUACUGUGAGGCUAGAGUGUAUUAGAGGAUGGCGGAAUUCCUAGUGUAGUGGUGAAAUACGUAGAUAUUAGGAAGAACACCGGUGGCGAAGGCGGCCAUCUGGGAUACAACUGACGCUGAGGCGCGAAAGCGUGGGGAUCAAACAGG
This 253-nucleotide ribosomal RNA is filed under the name uncultured bacterium. RNAcentral's name for it is "partial 16S ribosomal RNA". It matches the Rfam family "Bacterial small subunit ribosomal RNA", at positions 524 to 776 of the family's 1533-position model. The record is from RNAcentral.